CCACACUGCCAUUGCUGAGGAUUCCUGCUCGCCGUGGAAUCGGCACAUACAACGCUCUUAAUCUGAAAGUAAGUGACCUGGAUCUACUUUCAUCAUGAAGCAAUCAAAACUGGUCAACACACAGAACCAUAAUCUGCUCCCCUCCCCUGCAACCCUCGCAGAUGACAAGCAGACAUUGUCCUCGUGCAAGAAGAAAGCCGGCUUUUCCUUUGUGGAGGAAUGCUUUUGUCAAGCUUUAGUUUGUGGCGAGGUUUACGCUCCGACUGAAAAUGCCAUUGUCACGUUUGUGGAGGCUGAGGUCAUUGCUGUCGCUUUGUAGCCUGCUUGAUGGCAACUUCAAGCAAAGGACUCCGAUCAGGAACUUAGAAGAUACAAGAGGAUGAAGAGUAGUCUGAAAAUACCCAGCACCCCCUGCCAUCAAACAGACCUCUCCUCCGCCCGCUGCAGCUCAGCUGAGGCUGUCGACAGGCAGCUAUGGCUUUGGCAACCCCGCCUGUCACUCUUCUGUCUCCGCGGAAACAUCUUCUUCCUCCGCGUGCCAAAGAGGAAAGUUGAGGGCGACCGCCGGCAGCCCAGCUCCUGGGAGUUGAAAGAGCAGUCAGGUUUCACAGGAAGCCAUUGCUCACGGCGAUGCUUCACUGCUCAGACACAACAAAGUGGACUUCUGCAGACACCAACACACAGGAAGAAAAGUGUGGGGUUAAGUGGAGGCCAAGAGCGACAUGAGAGUGGGUCCUGGACGUAAAUUGUGAGGGAUUUUGGGAGUAGCUUACGAUGAAUUCGAGUAAACUAUCUUUUAAGAGUAAUGACUGUGUGUUUUCAACAUAUUUUGGUGUGUGUGUGAUCUUCUCACUGUCCCCUCCUGCUUUAUAAGACCCAUUUUUUAUGUGUCAGGUGACUGAGUAAAAAAGACAAACAAGCAGUUUGUGCAGCGCUGUAAUGGAUAUCCAAACAUUCCUUUGUGUACGCGAGGCCCCCGCAAGGUUCAGCGUGCAGCUGACACAACAAAGAAAACCUGUGUUUGACAAGCGCUCCAGUGCCAGGUCCUCUUUGAGGAUGCCAGGAGGAGAUGGGACACUUCAAGCCUAGCUGAGGCGGAACUCUGAGGCUCAAGACCUCGAGACACAAGGCAGGUGUAAAGUGUGUCCUAUUGUCUUAAAGUCCCACUCCGAACAUUUGUUCAACUAUUUAAAAAGCAUUCCCAGUGGUCUUUUAAUUAGGGCUGGGAAUCACGAUAUGAUGCGAUACACGAUAUGCGAUACAUGGUUCACGAUAUUGAUAUCACAAUACUGCAAUAAUUGGUAAAAAUCAUCUCUAAUAACUCACAAUAUAUAGAUGAACAUAUAUUUUUAGGAAAAAAUGUCC
Oryzias melastigma (Indian medaka) is the source of this 1365-nucleotide long non-coding RNA. RefSeq lists it as uncharacterized. Lineage: Eukaryota; Metazoa; Chordata; Actinopteri; Beloniformes; Adrianichthyidae. The record is from RefSeq and is a predicted model, not a curated record. The transcript is spliced from 3 exons.